This is a long non-coding RNA of Gallus gallus (chicken), 2249 nucleotides long. The record is from Ensembl. NCBI's taxonomy places the organism in Eukaryota, Metazoa, Chordata, Aves, Galliformes, Phasianidae.
GCCCCGCUCCCAGCCCCUUCCCCCCGCGAACCGAGCAGCAGAGGGAAAACGGCCCCACUGAAGUGGCGGACAGGAGGCUCUCGACAGAUUCUCAACGAAUUUCGCCUCCUCGCAGCCCCCCCCUUAUCAUUUUUCCACCCAAAACCCCUCGCACCCCCCUCGGAACCCGGAGGCAGCGGGGGAAGCACCGCCACGGGAACGCGGCGGCAGCACCGACGGCUGUGGCCCCGCUCCGCUCCGCUCCGCGCCCGGGCUGCGCUCUGCCCCGCACCGCUCCGCGGGCGGCACCGGGGCGUCCCUCGGGCUCCGCUCCGUCUGCCGGAGACGUUUCCCAUUUCUCCUCACAAAAACCCAUUUUUCCGUUCUGCUCCCCCGAACGCCCAUACUUAUUGCACAGAAUUCAUAUAUUGAACAGAAAAGCCCUCCGCGAGUUUUCUUUGUUUAAUUGUCCCCGAGGUGCGCAGCCCGCACUGCACAUAACGGCCACGGGAGAUCCGUGCGGGGCGGCGCGGGGGGAGCGGCGGCAUUUGGGGUUCGGGCCGGGUGGGAAACAGCACCGCUGCGGCACUGCGUGGGGAUCACCGCGGUUCUGUGGUUCAGGAGAGAAAGAAUAAUAGACGUUCCCGAAGUGGAGGUGGGGGGAGCGCCUGUUUGGUUCGCUGCUUUUCGGAGGUCACAACGAGCAUUUUUGUUUUACUACAGAAAACGGAAAACCCGACACUGAAUGAUUUUCUGAUGCCGUUCUUUGGGGGGGAGAGGAGGGGGAGAAGAGGGGAGGGCUGCGGUUGGGGUGCGGCACGGAGCGGAGCUUCCAGAAAACGCCUCACAUACCGCCCCCCCCCCCCCCCCCCCCCUUCUUUUUUAUUUAUUUAUUUUAUUUAUUGCUGUAUUUUCCUUCUGACGGAAGCAGGAGGGGAAUUGGGUGCAAAGCGGAUGAAAUGCGUCAAAAAGAGCCGUCGCCGCAGCGGGGCUGCGCUCCACGGGGGUCUCUCGGCCGCCGCUGCCCUCCGGGCCCGACCCCAACGGGGAUCGCACUGCGCCGGCCGGGAAUUAACACAAAUCAGCGCACAAAUAGGUCGAGAAACAAAGAAAAAACAAAACCAAACCAAAAUAAAACGGAGCCAUCAGAGCGCGCAGAUGAACACCUCGGGGUUCAUGCAAUGAUUUUUUUUCUUUUUUAAAUUUCGUUAUUAUUAUUAUUAUUAUUAUUUCUUAUUUAGCCAACGAUAAAUUCAUUGCAAAAGACGCGAAGGAGAUCGAUGUUGGGGGCCGCAGAGGGCGUCAGGGAGGAAACAACGAAUAUUCGCCCAAAUCGCGGCGUGCUGCGGAGGCAUUGGGGCAUUUCCCCCCUCCUCCCCAUCUCUCGCCCCGCAGAGCCCCGGCCCUGCACCGCUGAGGGCCCGCGCGGUGCGGAUCUGAGGGGUGCGUCGGGCUCGGGAGACAUAUUUAGAAGCACCAUUAAGAUAAUGAUGAUAAUCAUCAUUAAAAACACCGGAAAACGUCCACGGAGCCUAAAGAGGACCCCGGUCCGGUGCGGGACAAACGUGUCCCCAGGCAGCGCCAGCCGGGGGAGGGUGCUUCUGGGCGGGGGCGCGGGGCUUUGUGCUGCUGCUGGAUACGGCGGUACCCCCACACAAACCCUCACAGCCCCGGCAUACACGUGCCGAGACACGGAGAUAAACGGGAGGGUGAGGGACGCCGGCGGGCUCAGCGCUGCGGGCAUCCGAGGGGUGCGGGACACCGGGGCUCUUCCUCGACUCCCAAAUUCCCCCCCGCUUCUGGGGCAUCGCUGAGCCCCCCCCCGCCCAGGGGGACCGCCGUGGGGACCGCACCCCGGGCAGCCCCGAUUGCUGCCCCGCGUCCGAAGGUGGGAGAAGGAGAUUUUGUUCGGCGGCGCCUGGAAAUAAAAAUCGCCCCGAACUUCUGCCGGCGGCUGAAAAUGGGGAUAGAACGCAGCGAAAGGAGGGGAAAUAAAAAGAGAAAAAGGAAGGAAAAGGAGGAGAGAGGCAGAGGAAGAGAAGAAAAAGAGAGGUGGUCAGGCAUGCCCAGAAGGAAUAGGAAAGAAGACGGAUGCUGCUGCCAAGAUUCAGCCCAGCAGAGCUGCACUUCAGCGGAUAUUUGAGACUGAAACAACGUUGGACCUUUUGCAGCUUUCCUUAGCUACAAAUCUAAAAUCACACAGAGGUGUGAUCAGAAACAUUCCCAGAAACACAAGGGAAACUCAGAAGGAUCGGGUAGGGAAACUGCUG